UACGUAGGGGGCUAGCGUUGUCCGGAAUCAUUGGGCGUAAAGCGCGCGUAGGCGGCUAUCCAAGUCAGGCGUGAAAGCCCCGGGCUUAACCUGGGAGGUGCGUCUGGGACUGGGUGGCUAGAGUUCGGGAGAGGAGAGUGGAAUUCCGAGUGUAGAGGUGAAAUUCGUAGAUAUUGGGAAGAACACCGGUGGCGAAGGCGGCUCUCUGGACCGAGACUGACGCUGAGGCGCGAAAGCGUGGGGAGCAAACAGG
RNAcentral lists this ribosomal RNA (253 nucleotides) under uncultured bacterium. Its description in RNAcentral is "partial 16S ribosomal RNA". It matches the Rfam family "Bacterial small subunit ribosomal RNA", at positions 524 to 776 of the family's 1533-position model. The record is from RNAcentral.